CAGAGUUCAUGCCCUUCGGGGUAGAUCUCCCACCCUUGAAUAUUAUACCUUAGUUGCUUUGGCAGGCCGGGGCAACCCCCCGGGCUCAGGCCUGGGAGUGCCUGCCAGAGGAAACAAACUCUGUUUUUAGUGAUGUCUGAGUACUAUAUAAUAGUUA
RNAcentral lists this unclassified non-coding RNA (157 nucleotides) under uncultured Naevala. The record is from RNAcentral. Lineage: Eukaryota; Fungi; Ascomycota; Leotiomycetes; Helotiales; Dermateaceae.